RNAcentral lists this unclassified non-coding RNA (337 nucleotides) under soil metagenome. RNAcentral describes it as "partial contains 5.8S ribosomal RNA, internal transcribed spacer 2, and large subunit ribosomal RNA". The stretch from base 1 to 120 matches the Rfam family "5.8S ribosomal RNA", at positions 35 to 154 of the family's 154-position model. The record is from RNAcentral.
GAUGAAGAACGUAGCGAAAUGCGAUAAGUAGUGUGAAUUGCAGAAUUCAGUGAAUCAUCGAAUCUUUGAACGCACAUUGCGCCCCUUGGUAUUCCAUGGGGCAUGCCUGUUCGAGCGUCAUUUGUACCCUCAAGCUAAGCUUGGUGUUGGGUGUUUGUCCACUCCCUCGUGUUUGGACUCGCCUUAAAACAAUUGGCAGCCAGUGUUUUGGUAUUGAAGCGCAGCACAAUUUGCGAUUCUAGCCUAGAAUACUAGCAUCCAUCAAGUCAUUUUUAACGCUUGACCACGGAUCAGGUAGGGAUACCCGCUGAACUUAAGCAUAUCAAUAAGCGGAGGA